GAUGAAGAACGCAGCGAAAUGCGAUAAGUAAUGUGAAUUGCAGAAUUCAGUGAAUCAUCGAAUCUUUGAACGCACCUUGCGCCCUUUGGCUAUUCCGAAGGGCAUGCCUGUUUGAGUAUCAUGAACACCUCAACCCUCAUGGUUUGCCAUGAUGGGCUUGGACUUUGGGGGUCUUGCUGGAUUGUAGUCAGCUCCCCCUAAAUGAAUCAGCUUGCCAGUGUUUGGUGGCAUCACAGGUGUGAUAAAUAUCUACGCUUGUGGUUUUACAUCAGAUAACCUUCAGUGAUGGAGGUUCACUGGAGCUCAUAAAGGUGUCUCUCCUCUGUGAGGACAGCUCUUUGAAUGUUUGAUCUCAAAUCAGGCAGGACUACCCGCUGAACUUAAGCAUAUCAAUAAGCGGAGGA
RNAcentral lists this unclassified non-coding RNA (404 nucleotides) under soil metagenome. Its description in RNAcentral is "partial contains 5.8S ribosomal RNA, internal transcribed spacer 2, and large subunit ribosomal RNA". The stretch from base 1 to 121 matches the Rfam family "5.8S ribosomal RNA", at positions 35 to 154 of the family's 154-position model. The record is from RNAcentral.